Molecule: ribosomal RNA, 593 nt
Filed under: uncultured Planctomycetota bacterium
Lineage: Bacteria; Pseudomonadati; Planctomycetota
Description: bacterial SSU rRNA
Rfam family: Bacterial small subunit ribosomal RNA
Source: RNAcentral
GGCGAACGGGUGAGUAAUGCAUAGAUAACUUGCCCCUGAGAUGGGGAUAACGUUUCGAAAGGAACGCUAAUACUCAAUGUCGUCUUGGCGCUUAGGCGUCAAGAUGAAAGGAGGCCUCUGAUUUAAGCUUCCGCUCAGGGAGAGGUUUAUGUCCUAUUAGCUUGUUGGUGAGGUAAAGGCUCACCAAGGCUGCGAUGGGUAGCCGGCCUGAGAGGGUGACCGGCCACAUUGGGACUGAGACACUGCCCAAACUCCUACGGGAGGCUGCAGUCGAGAAUCUUCCGCAAUGCGCGCAAGCGUGACGGAGCGACGCCGCGUGGGUGACGAAGGCCUUCGGGUUGUAAAGCCCUGUCAGUAACUAGGAAUUGCAGGCGGUGAAUAAUUGUCCUGUUUGACCAGGUUGCAGAGGAAGCACCGGCUAAAUACGUGCCAGCAGCCGCGGUAACACGUAUGGUGCAAACGUUGUUCGGAAUCACUGGGCCUAAAGAGCGCGUAGGCGGUUUGGUAAGUCACGUGUGAAAUCCCUCGGCUCAACCGAGGAACUGCACCUGAUACUGCCUGACUAGAGUGCAGGAGGGGAGAGUGGAAUUCCU